ACGAACGCUGGCGGCGUGCCUAACACAUGCAAGUCGAGCGGAGGGGAAAGGAGCUUGCUUCUUGAACCUCAGCGGCGGACGGGUGAGUAACACGUGGGUAACCUGCCCUUGAGAGGGGGAUAACAGGUCGAAAGGCCUGCUAAUACCGCAUAACGCUAAGAAGCUGCAUGGCGUCUUAGCCAAAGGUUAAUUCCGCUCAAGGAUGGGCCCGCGGCCCAUUAGCUAGUUGGUGAGGUAAUGGCUCACCAAGGCGACGAUGGGUAGCCGGCCUGAGAGGGUGGUCGGCCACACUGGGACUGAGACACGGCCCAGACUCCUACGGGAGGCAGCAGUGGGGAAUAUUGCGCAAUGGGGGAAACCCUGACGCAGCGACGCCGCGUGAGCGAUGAAGGCCUUCGGGUUGUAAAGCUCUGUCUUCCCUGACGAUAAUGACGGUAAGGGAGGAGGAAGCCACGGCUAACUACGUGCCAGCAGCCGCGGUAAUACGUAGGUGGCGAGCGUUGUCCGGAAUUACUGGGCGUAAAGGGUGCGUAGGCGGCUCUUUAGGUGGGAUGUGAAAUCCCCUGGGCUCAACCCAGGAACUGCAUUCCAAACUGAAGAGCUAGAGUGCAGGAGAGGAAAGCGGAAUUCCCAGUGUAGCGGUGAAAUGCGUAGAGAUUGGGAGGAACACCAGUGGCGAAGGCGGCUUUCUGGACUGUAACUGACGCUGAGGCACGAAAGCGUGCGGGAGCAAACAGGAUUAGAUACCCUGGUAGUCCACGCUGUAAACGAUGGGUACUAGGUGUAGGGGGCGAAGCCCUCUGUGCCGCAGCUAACGC
RNAcentral lists this ribosomal RNA (818 nucleotides) under uncultured bacterium. RNAcentral's name for it is "bacterial SSU rRNA". It matches the Rfam family "Bacterial small subunit ribosomal RNA", at positions 29 to 858 of the family's 1533-position model. The record is from RNAcentral.